AUGCUAGCUUGGGCAGCACAUAUUCUAGCAUCAGAAGGAUACAGAAAACAAUAACAUGGCCCCUGCACAAGGAUGACAUGCUAAUUUGUAAAGAGUGUUGUUGUUGU
This is a small nuclear RNA of Loxodonta africana (African savanna elephant), 107 nucleotides long. The record is from Ensembl. Lineage: Eukaryota; Metazoa; Chordata; Mammalia; Proboscidea; Elephantidae.